AGACGUGUACGCUCGAAGACGUCAGAAAGUCGGAAUGGUAUUGCAAAGCGAAUAAGGGAUGAAUCGAGUAAGCGAAGCGAUGUGGCGAAUAGAGUAUAGCUAGAGAUGGUCUAGAGAUUAUGAGAUGCAUAGAUUGUGAAAGUGGAAAGAUGAGAAUGAGCUGUGAGACGGGAGUCAGAUUUAAGGCAAGUAUCUUAAACCCUUCUCUUGGAUAUAUUGCAAAUAUUCUGAUCCAUUCCUUUGGUAUAUGUUUCAAGUAUUCAUACCUUUCUUUUCAAUGUUCGAAAGUGCGAGUAUUCUGACCCAUUCUUUCUAAUCUUCAAGUUUCUAAAGAAUUUCCGUUUUACAAAUUAAUUCGAAGUUCAGAUUGUCAUUGAAGCAUGUGUUGCUCAGUGAUAGUUAGAGCUUUGAAUGAAUUGGGAUCUUCUUGAUUAUUCAAUCCGCCAUUGUCAUGCUGGUUAGCAGGCUAAAUUCAGUUGCUUAGCCGAUAAUGGAGGAUACUGAAUAGUUGAGGAUUUCCUGAACUGUGAUUUAUGAAAUGAUGGAUCAUGAUUUAUUAUUAUCAAAGUUGAUUUGGAAUUAUUCAGUUGUUGAUAAUAUUUAUGAUGAUGUUCUGUUGAUUUACAUUGGCUUCUUGAAUUGAAUUAGAGAAUUGGAUUAUUGUUUUUAUAUAAACCUGUGGACCAGAUUCGUGGUCAUGUUAGGCCAAUGAGUGCCUUGGAUCCAGUCAUAGAGCAUGGCGGGGCCUGCUCGGGGUUAGGUAUGACUGAUCAGCAUCCUAACCUUGGUUUUUAAUUAAAAUGUGAUAGUCCAAUUCAAUAAUUCUCUUGUGAAAGAUUGAAUUCCUCAGUAUUCAAUUGCUGUAAGGUAUUGUGAUUUUCUUAUACAAUACCUAAACUCGUGAACUCAGGUUGAAUCCUUUUAUAUCUUGAACUCGUGAAUUUCUAUUAUAUUAUUUCAGAAUUUUCAUUGCUUAUUACUACUUGCUGAGCAUUGUCGCUCACCCUUGCUAUUCCUUUCUAACCAUUUCAGAAAGGCUUAAAGAUGAGAUGAUUGAUUGAGAUUGUGAGUAAGGCUAAUGCUAGGCGAGGAGACAGAGUUGAGGAUCCAGUGGUCG
RNAcentral lists this long non-coding RNA (1117 nucleotides) under Daucus carota (carrot). Its description in RNAcentral is "long non-coding RNA (DCAR_LNC001903)". Lineage: Eukaryota; Viridiplantae; Streptophyta; Magnoliopsida; Apiales; Apiaceae. The record is from RNAcentral.